UUCAGCCAGUGCUCACCAGUUUGUUUAGACUUGUUUAAGUUUUUACAGACCGCACAGCUUCAGAAUUUAAAAGAAAAUCCCUCACGAGUUUAAAAGAGUCGGAGAAGGAAUUCUGUGCCGUGUCAUGACAUGACACAAGUGUGAGAUUGUUCAUGGAUGUACACCUUGUCGAUGUUAAAUGGCUCCAGGAUGCAGUACACGCUGUAUUUUGCUCAACUGACAAGAGGAGGAAAUCUGCACAUUCAGGAAGGAAAGAAAUUCAAAUUAAUUCGAGGAUCAACCGAAUUUUGGAAUACAGAAUUUGAUCAGCUCUUCAGACACCUCAGCCAAAUGAAUGUUUCU
This is a long non-coding RNA of Rhincodon typus (whale shark), 342 nucleotides long. RefSeq lists it as uncharacterized. The transcript is spliced from 3 exons. The record is from RefSeq and is a predicted model, not a curated record. Lineage: Eukaryota; Metazoa; Chordata; Chondrichthyes; Orectolobiformes; Rhincodontidae.